GACGCGAUGGCCGAGCGGUUAAGGCGUGUGACUAGAACUUGCUCUACUAGGCUAUCACAUCUCUUCGGAGGCGUAGGUUCAAAUCCUGCUCGCGUCG
This is a transfer RNA of Fonsecaea multimorphosa CBS 102226, 97 nucleotides long. It matches the Rfam family "tRNA". Rfam says of the family: Transfer RNA (tRNA) molecules are approximately 80 nucleotides in length. NCBI's taxonomy places the organism in Eukaryota, Fungi, Ascomycota, Eurotiomycetes, Chaetothyriales, Herpotrichiellaceae. The record is from Rfam.